This 650-nucleotide ribosomal RNA is filed under the name Schistocerca piceifrons peruviana. Its description in RNAcentral is "partial 16S ribosomal RNA". The record is from RNAcentral. Lineage: Eukaryota; Metazoa; Arthropoda; Insecta; Orthoptera; Acrididae.
UAUUUAUUUUAUUAUAUUUAUUUUUUGUUUAUUUAAUUAUUUAAUAAAAAUAAUUUUGUUGAAUUUUGUCUUAGUAUAUUUUGUAGAAUUGAUUUUUUAUAUUAUAGUUUAUUGGUAAUGUAAUUGUUUUAUGAAAUAUUAUUUUAAAUUUUUAAAAGUAGAUUUUAUUUAUUGUACCUUUUGUAUCAGGGUUUAUCAAAAUUUUAGUAUUUACUUUACUUGUCUCGAUUUGGGUUGAUUUAUAAAUAAUUUAUAGUUAAUGUAUCAUAAUUCUUAUUAAAUUAUUUAUAGAAAUGAGAUGUUAACCGUUUCCCAAGGUAUCUAGUUUCUUAAGAAAAAAUUUAAUUUUUUAAAGUUAAUUGUUUUUAUUUAAUUUUUUAAGUAUAAAUAUUAACUUAUUUAUUCUUUAAGGGAUAAGCUUUGAAGUUAAUAACCUAUAAUUUGUUUUAAUAGAAUAUAAUAGUAAGCUUUAAACCAGCUAUCUUUAAGAUUACGUUUUAGUUCAUUAUUUUUAUUUUUGAUUUUAUAAUUAUUUUAGGUUUUUUAUUAAGAUUAUAAAUUUAAUUUUUUAAAUUUUGUAAUAAUGAUAGAAUUAGUAUAUUUAUUUGUAUAUAAUUUUUACCUGGUUAAUUUAUUAUAAGGAACUAGGC